ACGCUGGCGGCAGGCUUAACACAUGCAAGUCGAACGGUAACAGGGAUUAGCUUGCUAAUCUGCUGACGAGUGGCGGACGGGUGAGUAAUGCUUGGGAAUCUGGCUUAUGGAGGGGGAUAACGACGGGAAACUGUCGCUAAUACCGCGUAUUAUCGGAAGAUGAAAGUGCGGGACUGAGAGGCCGCAUGCCAUAGGAUGAGCCCAAGUGGGAUUAGGUAGUUGGUGGGGUAAAUGCCUACCAAGCCUGCGAUCUCUAGCUGGUCUGAGAGGAUGACCAGCCACACUGGAACUGAGACACGGUCCAGACUCCUACGGGAGGCAGCAGUGGGGAAUAUUGCGCAAUGGGGGGAACCCUGACGCAGCCAUGCCGCGUGAAUGAAGAAGGCCUUAGGGUUGUAAAGUUCUUUCGGUAUUGAGGAAGGUUGAUGUGUUAAUAGCACAUCAAAUUGACGUUAAAUACAGAAGAAGCACCGGCUAACUCCGUGCCAGCAGCCGCGGUAAUACGGAGGGUGCGAGCGUUAAUCGGAAUAACUGGGCGUAAAGGGCACGCAGGCGGUUAUUUAAGUGAGGUGUGAAAGCCCUGGGCUUAACCUAGGAAUUGCAUUUCAGACUGGGUAACUAGAGUACUUUAGGGAGGGGUAGAAUUCCACGUGUAGCGGUGAAAUGCGUAGAGAUGUGGAGGAAUACCGAAGGCGAAGGCAGCCCCUUGGGAAUGUACUGACGCUCAUGUGCGAAAGCGUGGGGAGCAAACAGGAUUAGAUACCCUGGUAGUCCACGCUGUAAACGCUGUCGAUUUGGGGGUUGGGGUUUAACUCUGGCGCCCGUAGCUAACGUGAUAAAUCGACCGCCUGGGGAGUACGGCCGCAAGGUUAAAACUCAAAUGAAUUGACGGGGGCCCGCAC
This 902-nucleotide ribosomal RNA is filed under the name uncultured bacterium. RNAcentral describes it as "bacterial SSU rRNA". It matches the Rfam family "Bacterial small subunit ribosomal RNA", at positions 33 to 926 of the family's 1533-position model. The record is from RNAcentral.